This 492-nucleotide ribosomal RNA is filed under the name uncultured bacterium. Its description in RNAcentral is "partial 16S ribosomal RNA". It matches the Rfam family "Bacterial small subunit ribosomal RNA", at positions 29 to 507 of the family's 1533-position model. The record is from RNAcentral.
AGUGAACGCUGGCGGUAGGCCUAACACAUGCAAGUCGAACGGCAGCACAGUAAGAGCUUGCUCUUACGGGUGGCGAGUGGCGGACGGGUGAGGAAUACAUCGGAAUCUACUUUUUCGUGGGGGAUAACGUAGGGAAACUUACGCUAAUACCGCAUACGACCUACGGGUGAAAGUAGGGGAUCUUCGGACCUUGCGCGAUUGAAUGAGCCGAUGUCGGAUUAGCUAGUUGGCGGGGUAAAGGCCCACCAAGGCGACGAUCCGUAGCUGGUCUGAGAGGAUGAUCAGCCACACUGGAACUGAGACACGGUCCAGACUCCUACGGGAGGCAGCAGUGGGGAAUAUUGGACAAUGGGUGCAAGCCUGAUCCAGCCAUACCGCGUGGGUGAAGAAGGCCUUCGGGUUGUAAAGCCCUUUUGUUGGGAAAGAAAAGCAGCAGGUUAAUACCCCGCUGUUCUGACGGUACCCAAAGAAUAAGCACCGGCUAACUUCGUG